UGGUUGAUGGUUCUCGCAAAGU
RNAcentral lists this microRNA (22 nucleotides) under Eisenia fetida (common brandling worm). RNAcentral's name for it is "Efe-Mir-1997-P5_5p* (star (passenger))". Lineage: Eukaryota; Metazoa; Annelida; Clitellata; Crassiclitellata; Lumbricidae. The record is from RNAcentral.